UUAAAAACAAACUUUGUAUUUAUAAUCUAAGCACUGUACCCAGGGGUACAGACGCUCUUUUCUUAACCUGUGUGUUAUAUAAUUUUUUUUAACAUUGGCUUUAAUAAAAUUUGUAAGUAUGUUAAAAUACACAAAGUACCUUGCUAGCUUUUAAAGCAUGCUGGCUGAUAAUUAUGGAUGUUGAUUUUUGCUCAAAAAUUGGAUAUAAUGGAGGGUGGAAUUUGAAGGAAUUUCUACCAUGAACAACUCUGCACACAUGACUGAAGUUCCUAAUGAGUGGUCCCUGCUAGAGUCAGAAUAUUUGGAUUGAUAGCAUUUCCUAUAAGAGGUUAGAUUAUUGGUCCAUGUUUACAUGGAUAUAGAUGUUUUGAUUGAUUGAUUUUUUUUUUUUUUUUUAUUUUGGAGAGAGAAACAUUUAGGGGUGGAGCAAAAAGAAUGCUAUAAAACCGUAAAGUUCACUGGGAAGACUAUUUUAAUUUCUGUUAACCGUUUAAAUCAGUGUGCUGUUUAUAUUACAUUGUAUUGGUAAAUUGUAACUGUAUUUAGGAUAUUAGUUAUUGGUUUCAGAGUAGCAGCCGUGUUAGUCUGUAUUCG
Molecule: long non-coding RNA, 594 nt
Organism: Dermochelys coriacea (leatherback sea turtle)
Lineage: Eukaryota; Metazoa; Chordata; Testudines; Dermochelyidae
Exons: 2
Source: RefSeq, a predicted model, not a curated record